UAGGGAAUAUUAGUAAUGGGCGAAAGCCUGAACUAGCAACGCCGCGUGUGCGAAGAAGGCCUUCGGGUUGUAAAGCACUUUUUGAGAGGAUGAGGAACGACGGUACUCUCAGAAUAAGUCUCAGCUAACUACGUGCCAGCAGCCGCGGUAACACGUAGGAGGCAAACGUUAUCCGGAUUUACUGGGCGUAAAGCGCGUGUAGGUGGUUUGGUAAGUAGGGCGUGAAAGCUCCUGGCUCAACUGGGAGAGGACGUUCUAAACUGCCAAGUUGGAGGAGGGUGGAGGGGGGUGGAAUUCCGGGUG
Molecule: ribosomal RNA, 303 nt
Filed under: uncultured bacterium
Lineage: Bacteria
Description: bacterial SSU rRNA
Rfam family: Bacterial small subunit ribosomal RNA
Source: RNAcentral